UUAAUUGAAACCAAAAUAGAGGUAUAUCACUGUUAAUGAUAUUAAUGAGAUAACUCCAAUUAAA
Molecule: transfer RNA, 64 nt
Filed under: Geoffmonteithia queenslanda
Lineage: Eukaryota; Metazoa; Arthropoda; Insecta; Coleoptera; Cerambycidae
Description: tRNA-Asn
Source: RNAcentral